UUGAGCUGAGAAUAUAAAGAGGACGCUGAUAGCAGAAUUAAUUCACACUUGGAGCUUUAACCAGAGCUAGCAGCACCGGCGUUGUUAGCUCCAUUUUUUUUACCGCAUGCAUUUCAGGGGAAGAAAAUAAAAGAGGCUGACAAAUUGCCAUUCUGUUCAGGCUGCAAAAUAAUUUCCGAGUAAACACCAACCAUAGCAGACUGACUUUGACAAAAAAUUGGGAGAGCAAACCAUGGAUUUCAAUACGUGUUGUAGUUUGUGAGACCUGACAAGUGGAGAUCAGAGACACGUGAACAGAUCAACCCAUUUAAAUGAACACAUGACCUUUAAUGGAACUGAGCUUUCUAAUCCUUAGCUGACCUGCAGAGGACCGUUGUGGCACGAAUCAGGUGCAAUAAACUCAUCGUUUUGCUGUAUGAAGGAUACUAGUGAUAGCUUUCAAAGAUUAAAGUUCAAAAUGCAGUAAAAGUCUGAAAUUAUAAAGUUAUAUUUACACUAAUAUAUAUAUUAUGAACAAAUAAGUAAUUGCUCGCAAUUUCCACUCAUGUCAAUCUAGCAAGUAAUCUAU
This is a long non-coding RNA of Hemiscyllium ocellatum (epaulette shark), 568 nucleotides long. RefSeq lists it as uncharacterized. The record is from RefSeq and is a predicted model, not a curated record. NCBI's taxonomy places the organism in Eukaryota, Metazoa, Chordata, Chondrichthyes, Orectolobiformes, Hemiscylliidae. The transcript has 4 exons.